Molecule: ribosomal RNA, 243 nt
Filed under: uncultured bacterium
Lineage: Bacteria
Description: partial 16S ribosomal RNA
Rfam family: Bacterial small subunit ribosomal RNA
Source: RNAcentral
GAUCAUGGCUCAGGAUAAACGCUGGCGGCGCACAUAAGACAUGCAAGUCGAACGGAAGUCGUUGUAAUGAAAUAGAAACGGACAGAGAACUUGUUCGAAGAAAGUAGAAGUAGACUUACAACAAUGGCUUUAGUGGCGGACUGGUGAGUAACGCGUAAGGAACCUGCCUUCUAGAGGGGAAUAACAAUGAGAAAUCAUUGCUAAUACCGCAUAUGCCGAGAGAAUCACAUGGUACAAUACGGG